GGGAUUGUGGCUCAGUGGCAGAGCGCUCGCCUCACAUGUGCGAGACCCUGGGUUUGAUCCUCAGCACCA
This 69-nucleotide transfer RNA is filed under the name Ictidomys tridecemlineatus (thirteen-lined ground squirrel). Its description in RNAcentral is "Spermophilus tridecemlineatus (thirteen-lined ground squirrel) tRNA". It matches the Rfam family "tRNA". From Rfam's summary of the family: Transfer RNA (tRNA) molecules are approximately 80 nucleotides in length. Their secondary structure includes four short double-helical elements and three loops (D, anti-codon, and T loops). Further hydrogen bonds mediate the characteristic L-shaped molecular structure. tRNAs have two regions of fundamental functional importance: the anti-codon, which is responsible for specific mRNA codon recognition, and the 3' end, to which the tRNAs corresponding amino acid is attached (by aminoacyl-tRNA synthetases). tRNAs cope with the degeneracy of the genetic code in two manners: having more than one tRNA (with a specific anti-codon) for a particular amino acid; and 'wobble' base-pairing, i.e. permitting non-standard base-pairing at the 3rd anti-codon position. Lineage: Eukaryota; Metazoa; Chordata; Mammalia; Rodentia; Sciuridae. The record is from Rfam by way of RNAcentral.